Molecule: non-coding RNA, 248 nt
Organism: Rattus norvegicus (Norway rat)
Lineage: Eukaryota; Metazoa; Chordata; Mammalia; Rodentia; Muridae
Source: RefSeq, a predicted model, not a curated record
UUCACUUCCUGCUGCCUGCCAAUCCAGAUAGAGAAUUCUCAGCUCCUUCUCCAGCACCAUGUCUGCCUGCCUGCCACCAUGUUUUUCCAUGAUGAUAAUGGACUAAACCUUUGAACUAUGGAAUAAUAAUGCAGCCCAAGGCUUUCCAAAAGACAGAAAAGUCACUCUUCACACAGAAUCCCAUUUCUAUAGAAGACUAAGUUACAAGCUCCUCAAAGCGUCUGUGCCAAAUAAAUGAUUUCUGGAAA